This 601-nucleotide ribosomal RNA is filed under the name Aureobasidium pullulans. RNAcentral's name for it is "eukaryotic LSU rRNA". It matches the Rfam family "Eukaryotic large subunit ribosomal RNA", at positions 48 to 656 of the family's 3401-position model. The record is from RNAcentral. Lineage: Eukaryota; Fungi; Ascomycota; Dothideomycetes; Dothideales; Saccotheciaceae.
UAGCGGAGGAAAAGAACACCAACAGCGGAUUGCCCUUAGUAACGGCGAAGUGAAGCGGCAACAGCUCAAAUUUGAAAGCUGGCCUUCGGGUCCGCAUUCGUAAUUUGUAGAGGAUGCUUUGGGUAAAACGCCAGUCUAAGUUCCUUCGGAACAGGACGUCAUAGAGGGUGAGAAUCCCGUAUGUGACUGGAAAUGUUAACCUAUGUAAAGCUCCUUCGACGAGUCGAGUUGUUUGGGAAUGCAGCUCUAAAUGGGAGGUAAAUUUCUUCUAAAGCUAAAUAUUGGCGAGAGACCGAUAGCGCACAAGUAGAGUGAUCGAAAGAUGAAAAGCACUUUGGAAAGAGAGUUAAAAAGCACGUGAAAUUGUUGAAAGGGAAGCGCUUGCAAUCAGACUUGUUUAAACUGUUCGGCCGGUCUUCUGACCGGUUUACUCAGUUUGGACAGGCCAGCAUCAGUUUCGGCGGCCGGAUAAAGGCUCUGGGAAUGUGGCCUCCACUUCGGUGGAGGUGUUAUAGCCCAGUGUGUAAUACGGCCAGCCGGGACUGAGGUCCGCGCUUCGGCUAGGAUGCUGGCGUAAUGGUUGUAAGUCUGACCCGUCUAA